RNAcentral lists this transfer RNA (72 nucleotides) under Cuneopsis rufescens. RNAcentral's name for it is "tRNA-Asn". Lineage: Eukaryota; Metazoa; Mollusca; Bivalvia; Unionida; Unionidae. The record is from RNAcentral.
UAGAGAAGAAGCUACAGUUACAGCAAUUAGUUGUUACCUAAUAGAAAGUGAACAAAUUUUCACCUUCCCUAA